GAGGUACUCCCUCUGUUCGGAAUUACUCGUCUAAGAAAUGAAUGUAUCUAGAUGUAUUUUAGUUAUAGAUACAUCCAUUUUUGUGACAAGUAAUUCCAAACGGAGAGAGUACCUU
Non-coding RNA from Triticum aestivum (bread wheat), 115 nucleotides. NCBI's taxonomy places the organism in Eukaryota, Viridiplantae, Streptophyta, Magnoliopsida, Poales, Poaceae. The record is from Rfam.